UACUGGAAGAAAGAAAAAAAAAAAAAAAGGAACACUACAGAGAAGAUUAGCAUGGCCCCUGAGCAAGGAUGACACACAGAUUUAUGAAGCAUUCCAUAUUUAA
Molecule: small nuclear RNA, 103 nt
Organism: Peromyscus eremicus (cactus mouse)
Lineage: Eukaryota; Metazoa; Chordata; Mammalia; Rodentia; Cricetidae
Source: RefSeq, a predicted model, not a curated record